GGAGGAAAAGAAACUAACAAGGAUUCCCCUAGUAACUGCGAGUGAAGCGGGAAGAGCUCAAAUUUUGAAUCUGGCGGUCUUCAGGCUGUCCGAGUUGUAAUCUAGAGAAGCGUCUUCCGCGCUGGACCGUGUACAAGUCUCCUGGAAGGGAGCGUCAUAGAGGGUGAGAAUCCCGUCUUUGACACGGACUACCAGUGCUAUGUGAUGCGCUCUCGACGAGUCGAGUUGUUUGGGAAUGCAGCUCAAAAUGGGUGGUAAAUUCCAUCUAAAGCUAAAUACAGGCGAGAGACCGAUAGCGAACAAGUACCGUGAGGGAAAGAUGAAAAGAACUUUGGAAAGAGAGUUAAACAGUACGUGAAAUUGCUGAAAGGGAAACGCUUGAUGUCAGUCGCGUCGUCCGGGGAUCAACCUUGCUUCUCGCUGGGUGUACUUCCCGGUAGACGGGUCAGCAUCAGUUUCGGUCGUCGUACAAGGGCGAGGGGAACGUGGCACUCUUCGGAGUGUGUUAUAGCCUUUCGUCGUAUGCGGCGGGUUGGGACUGAGGAACUCAGCACGACUUCCGUCUGUGCUUAGGAUGCUGGCAUAAUGGCCUUAAGCGACCCGUCUU
This 607-nucleotide small RNA is filed under the name Rubroboletus legaliae. RNAcentral describes it as "eukaryotic LSU rRNA". It matches the Rfam family "Eukaryotic large subunit ribosomal RNA", at positions 52 to 655 of the family's 3401-position model. Lineage: Eukaryota; Fungi; Basidiomycota; Agaricomycetes; Boletales; Boletaceae. The record is from RNAcentral.